This 270-nucleotide long non-coding RNA is filed under the name Elaeis guineensis (African oil palm). RNAcentral describes it as "long non-coding RNA (EGUI_LNC031333)". Lineage: Eukaryota; Viridiplantae; Streptophyta; Magnoliopsida; Arecales; Arecaceae. The record is from RNAcentral.
CCUCUCCAUCUACCCUACCCAAUGCUCAUGAGCUCCUCCACCCUCUCUCAACCCAUUGUCGCCCUCCCCCUCCAUGCUACCGCCCUCCCCCUCUUUUGCCUCCUCUCCGUCUUCCACCUCCUCCCCCACUUCCUUCCUCGCUCUCCUAUGCCUCCUCUCCCGUCAUCGCCAACAGUCUCUCCUACCCCUCCAACCUUCCUUCAAUCUCCCUCAGGUGCUUUUUUUCACCAUAAAUCAUUUUCAAAAAGAAUAAAAUGAAAAGAAUACGAG